UACGUAGGGGGCAAGCGUUGUCCGGAAUCAUUGGGCGUAAAGCGCGCGUAGGCGGCCCGGUAAGUCCGCUGUAAAAGUCCAGGGCUCAACCCUGGAAAGCCGGUGGAUACUGUCGGGCUAGAGUCCGGAAGAGGCGAGUGGAAUUCCGAGUGUAGAGGUGAAAUUCGUAGAUAUUCGGAGGAACACCAGUGGCGAAGGCGGCUCACUGGCUCGAUACUGACGCUGAGGUGCGAAAGCGUGGGGAGCAAACAGG
This 253-nucleotide ribosomal RNA is filed under the name uncultured bacterium. Its description in RNAcentral is "partial 16S ribosomal RNA". It matches the Rfam family "Bacterial small subunit ribosomal RNA", at positions 524 to 776 of the family's 1533-position model. The record is from RNAcentral.